Long non-coding RNA from Anguilla rostrata (American eel), 366 nucleotides. RefSeq lists it as uncharacterized. The record is from RefSeq and is a predicted model, not a curated record. The transcript has 2 exons. NCBI's taxonomy places the organism in Eukaryota, Metazoa, Chordata, Actinopteri, Anguilliformes, Anguillidae.
CAGAGGCAGAAUACUGCUAGCUGUAGUAUUCAUGUCUAUGUUACCGGCUUCAAUAUUCAUCAACUGACCUUUGAGUGAAAACCAAUCUAUCUCAGUGCCUGACUGUUUUCCCCAGCAUACCAUGAGACAGAACCCUGUGGUGAUGACGUUGGAGCGGCCGGUGGUGGCCGAGGUGCCGACGGUGAAGAGGAGGCGCUGUGUGAAGGCCCGCCGCAGCAGCCGCAGGACGCGCUCCCCUUCCUCGCUCGCCGGCAGGAAGGCCCGACGAGACGUGCCGGCGUACAAUUGGCCCGGGUUCGGAUGGCCGGCCUGUCCACAGAUUAAUCAUUUAAAAAACAUUUUAAUUAAAUUAAUUCAUUUAUUCAA